ACUUUGCUGCAGCAGGUGCCAAGAUGUUGGUGUUGGAAGGUGUUGGAAAAGUGCUGGAACUACAGAAACUGCAGCUGGCUCUAUACCAUCUCCUGGCUUCUGAGCAGAAGGAAUCUUUGCUCCUGCCAAUAUAAAAUAGGUCCAGCAGUGGUUCUGAGACAAAGCAGCACUACUGAAUAACAAUCAAAUUCACUUGAAAAUCCAACUCAAAGCACCUGAAUGAGCAGUUUACCUGGGGGCUGUUCCACAAUUGCUUGAAGUCACCAGAAGGACUUUCACAGAGUUCAGCAGGUGCUGAAUCAGGCAAGUUCUUAGCAGAAAGGAAGACAUGACUGUUUUAUGGGCUUCAAGAAAACCACAGCCAACGAAAUGUAAGAGCUACUGUGUUAUAAUACCUUAAUAAUGGUAUCUUACUUUGCAAUUGAAGGAGACUGGGAAUGUAGUCUCACAGAUGUGAAUGCCCAAAAGAUACAUCUGGAUAAACACUAUAGACAUGAGGUAGACACAUCAAUGGACUUAUUUUUCUAGUUUGGAUCAAAAGAGAGUUUGUCAAUUCCUUGCUGUCUCAGAGUUCACCCUAUGAAUUGGUCUUGGAGCAUGCAGACUGGAUUUUUAUUUUUUUUUCAAUAAAACUAAUCUGGUAGAAAUGCUGCAGGAAGAUAUCUGCACUCCCACUGCUAAUGGGUGUUGAACAAGUGGGAUCAGACUAGAUCUAGUUUUCAGCAAGAACUUUAAACUGAAUGUGGACAUCACAUCCUUGUGGUCAACUCUUCUACCUCCCAGAUUCUCUCCUUGUGAAACACUGCCUGCUGAGAAUGAGCAGAAGCAGAUGCUGCUACAACCUAGAUGGUGUUUUUUGUCGUGUCAUUUCUAUGCUUUGUGUGAGUACAUCCUGCCACUUCCCUCAUUGUCUGAUUAUCCCAGCUUUGAAGAAUAUCUAGAGCUUCUGGUUUUGUAGCAUUCAGACAAUCAGUGAGCCAGACUUGUCUCACUUUACCAAAAGAUGUUUUGAUCAAUCUCUGUACGAACAUUUGUCUUCAUAUAACUUGAGUAUGGCAUGAACACCACCACAUGGCUGGAACAAAAUAAGGAAUACUUACAAACUAGCUUAUGUGAAUUAUAUAUAGGGGAAAAAAAAGAGUAAAGGUAUUGUGAUAAAGAGAGAGGAGGUGGAGGAUAAUGACAACAGUCCUGGAAGUCUUUGCACAAAAAGAGGCCCCUGUAUCCAACUUGGCUAGCAAAAAAAUGAGAAGCACUAGAGAUGAGUCAUCCAGCUUUCUCUACAGGCUUGGCUUCUGCACAUGCGUAGGCAUGAGUGCGCGUUUGUGACACAUGCAGAACAAUCUACCUCACACUGUGGGUCUGACUAUGACAGCAGCCGCUGAAUGUGCUCCAAGACUGAACAUCAGUGAAGAAAAGUUAUUUUAUCUGGUCUAUAUGUAAGGCUCAUAGUGGCAUCCUGAAAUGUGUUAAACAAUGUGAAAGCUGUCAAUGGUAAGCCCAUCAAACCCAGAAUGAGUUAUACAUUUUUCAGUGAAAUAGAAGUGUUCCAUUUUUUUGUUUCUGUGAAGUCUGGGGCAAGAGUAUACUGGUUUGGGGGACGUCUUCAGUGAAAUGAAUGUAGUUGUUAAAAAUCUUAUGCUUUCCUUUUGAAUCAAAUCUUUACAAAGAGACAUAUUUUACUUUAUUAGUAAUCUUGUAGCUUGUAACAAGGGUCUUAAGACAGAUUCUUUUUUCACUGUACUUCAGCUAAAAUGUUAAGCCUUGUGUCUUUUUAUAGGUUUUAUAGCUGCUAGUUAAAAAUACAUAUGCCACUCCCUGUAAACAUAAGUGAGAAAAAGGAACAGUCUAAAAAGUGCUUUAUGGCUACAGAUCCUUAAAUAAGUGACAUUUAACACUACCCCCCCCAAAAAAAAAAAAAAGAAAAAAAAAGAGAAAAAAGAACAAAGAGGGCCAAUUUCAGCUCACAGGACUGCAAAGGAAACUGAGAAACUGCCAGACUGCUGCACAGAGAAGAGGCAAGGGGAGGACUUACAGAGACAACACUCACCUGUGCAGAGUGUUGCACUUCAAUCACCUUGCAAGUAAGAUCAAACACAGUCUGAGCUGAGUUCCUGGUAAGCCUCCUCCCCUGGGGGAGGGAGAUCCAGUUCUUACACUUGCACUUUCAGGGGAGGAACUUGAGGAACAAGACUUUGUUACAGUCUCUAGGUAGUGGGAGUCUAACACCAGUGGAAGGCUUGUACUUUGGCUUGGCAAGCUGGUGUGCUGAGCGAUCGAUCGUGCGUAAAGAGCCAGUCUGAAACUUUUAGCCAUGUGGUUCUGACCAUUUCAGGAAGAGCUUUCCUUAGAGGCAUGAAAGCUUUGUUUUUAUUCCAUGCCAUUCAGAAGUCCUCAUCUACCUCACUGCAAAAGUACAUGCAAAUUAUACAGACAUAAACCCAAAUAUAUUUGGCUGAAAAUAAUUAUUCACAGCAAAUUAAUUGCCAUUAGAGCCAUUUGGUCCAAGAAACACUUUUAAGGUUCAAUAACUUUUUACAUCUGGUGUGCUUACUGUCUUGAAAUAUUAAAUAACUGAUAUUCAUUAUAAUGCUACCCAUAAAAUGAGAACUUCACAUUCCUUGUUCCCAAGGAGUUUAUUUAUCUAAACAAAGUGUCUGGCCACCCCUGGAAGCAGCUGGUUUCCAUUCUUCGUUCCACAUAUUCUUACAGUAACUAAUUAAAGUGUAGAAGAGAUGUUGUCCUCCUUCUACAGGUGAAAAACUAGGGUUCAGGGAGAGCAAAUAAUUAACUGAAGUAACAGAUUCUGUUGCAAAACAGAGGCUUGAACUAUACUCCACAGGGUCUAAAGUCUACAUACUGAAUUAACCAUAAAAUAACACAUUUGUCUCUAAUGAGGAUAAAUAUAUUAUCAUGCUAUUGCCAGCUGGUACCACAACCUAAAAAAAAAAAAAAAAAAAANNNNNNNNNNNNNNNNNNNNNNAAAAAAAAAAAAAAAAGAAGCAAGCUAAAAAUUCUAGGAUAAGAUGCUCUGCUGAAUGAUUAUUAUUAAUUUUAUAUUUGUACUGCUUUAUCACUAUCAUUUGGGUGAUUUGGGUGUAUAUUUAUUAUGUGGCAUUUUUAACACAUCACAAAAUCCUUGGUCUGAAAGGGUUUUAGCAGAUUUCACAGUCUGUCUCCAUGAGCCAAAGAAGAGUUAAUUGCAUUUGUGUUAUCUCUAGAUAAACAUUCACAUCAGACUUUCAGUAGUGCAAAUUUCGCAUUUCCAGUAACUUAUUCUGGUGCUUUACUACCAUUACAUUACAAAGGUUUUCCAGGUAUCUAACCUGAACCUUCAUGCUGUCUUUUAAGAUUCUCCUGUUUACUGUGAACAUGAAGAAUAUUUUAUUCUGUCUCUUACUAUAGAUUAUUGUAGUGAUAUGCAUACUAGUAA
Falco tinnunculus (common kestrel) is the source of this 3433-nucleotide long non-coding RNA. Lineage: Eukaryota; Metazoa; Chordata; Aves; Falconiformes; Falconidae. The record is from Ensembl.